GGGGGGACCAUCCUCCAAGGCUAAAUACUCCUGAUUGACCGAUAGUGAACCAGUACUGUGAAGGAAAGGCGAAAAGAACCCCGGUGAGGGGAGUGAAAUAGAACCUGAAACCUUGUACGUACAAGCAGUGGGAGCCCGCAAGGGUGACUGCGUACCUUUUGUAUAAUGGGUCAGCGACUUAUAUUUUGUAGCGAGGUUAACCGAAUAGGGGAGCCGAAGGGAAACCGAGUCUUAACUGGGCGAAUAGUUGCAAGGUAUAGACCCGAAACCCGGUGAUCUAGCCAUGGGCAGGUUGAAGGUUGGGUAACACUAACUGGAGGACCGAACCGACUAAUGUUGAAAAAUUAGCGGAUGACUUGUGGCUGGGGGUGAAAGGCCAAUCAAACCGGGAGAUAGCUGGUUCUCCCCGAAAUCUAUUUAGGUAGAGCCUUGAGCGGACACCUUCGGGGGUAGAGCACUGUUUCGGCUAGGGGUCCAUCCCGGAUUACCAACCCGAUGCAAACUACGAAUACCGAAGAGUGAUACUCAGGAGACACACGGCGGGUGCUAACGUCCGUCGUGGAGAGGGAAACAACCCAGACCGCCAGCUAAGGUCCCAAAGUCUAUAUUAAGUGGGAAACGAAGUGGGAAGGCUUAGACAGCUAGGAUGUUGGCUUAGAAGCAGCCAUCAUUUAAAGAAAGCGUAAUAGCUCACUAGUCGAGUCGGCCUGCGCGGAAGAUGUAACGGGGCUCAAAUAUAGCACCGAAGCUGCGGCAUCAGACGUAAGUCUGUUGGGUAGGGGAGCGUUGUGUAAGCGGAUGAAGGUUCAUCGAGAGGUGGGCUUGACGUAUCACAAGUGCGAAUGCUGACAUAAGUAACGAUAAAACGGGUGAAAAACCCGUUCGCCGGAAGACCAAGGGUUCCUGUCCAACGUUAAUCGGGGCAGGGUGAGUCGGCCCCUAAGGCGAGGCUGAAAAGCGUAGUCGAUGGGAAACGGGUUAAUAUUCCCGUACUUGGAUAAACUGCGAUGUGGGGACGGAGCAGGUUAGGUUAGCGUGCUGUUGGAUAUGCACGUUUAAGUUAGUAGGUGGGGAGUUUAGGCAAAUCCGGACUUCCUUAACACUGAGAGAUGAUGACGAGGCUCUACGGAGCUGAAGUAACUGAUACCACACUUCCAGGAAAAGCCACUAAGCUUCAGGUUUAUCUAAACCGUACUGAAAACCGACACAGGUGGUCAGGUAGAGAAUACUCAGGCGCUUGAGAGAACUCGGGUGAAGGAACUAGGCAAAAUAGCACCGUAACUUCGGGAGAAGGUGCGCCGGCGUAGAUUGUAGUCCCUUGCGGGCGAAGGUUGAACCGGUCGAAGAUACCAGCUGGCUGCAACUGUUUAUUAAAAACACAGCACUCUGCAAACACGAAAGUGGACGUAUAGGGUGUGACGCCUGCCCGGUGCUGGAAGGUUAAUUGAAGAUGUGAGAGCAUCGGAUCGAAGCCCCAGUAAACGGCGGCCGUAACUAUAACGGUCCUAAGGUAGCGAAAUUCCUUGUCGGGUAAGUUCCGACCUGCACGAAUGGCAUAAUGAUGGCCAGGCUGUCUCCACCCGAGACUCAGUGAAAUUGAAAUCGCCGUGAAGAUGCGGUGUACCCGCGGCUAGACGGAAAGACCCCGUGAACCUUUACUAUAGCUUGACACUGAACAUUGAAUUUUGAUGUGUAGGAUAGGUGGGAGACUUUGAAGUAGUCACGCCAGUGAUUAUGGAGUCGACCUUGAAAUACCACCCUUUAACGUUUGAUGUUCUAACGAAGAUUGCGAAACGUGGUCUCGGACAGUGUCUGGUGGGUAGUUUGACUGGGGCGGUCUCCUCCCAAAGAGUAACGGAGGAGCACGAAGGUUUGCUAAUCACGGUCGGACAUCGUGAGGUUAGUGCAAUGGUAUAAGCAAGCUUAACUGCGAGACAGACAAGUCGAGCAGGUACGAAAGUAGGUCAUAGUGAUCCGGUGGUUCUGCAUGGAAGGGCCAUCGCUCAACGGAUAAAAGGUACUCCGGGGAUAACAGGCUGAUACCGCCCAAGAGUUCAUAUCGACGGCGGUGUUUGGCA
This 2078-nucleotide ribosomal RNA is filed under the name human oral metagenome. RNAcentral's name for it is "bacterial LSU rRNA". It matches the Rfam family "Bacterial large subunit ribosomal RNA", at positions 446 to 2523 of the family's 2925-position model. The record is from RNAcentral.